This 1170-nucleotide ribosomal RNA is filed under the name Haloterrigena sp. WN54. RNAcentral describes it as "bacterial SSU rRNA". It matches the Rfam family "Archaeal small subunit ribosomal RNA", at positions 248 to 1423 of the family's 1478-position model. Lineage: Archaea; Methanobacteriati; Methanobacteriota; Halobacteria; Halobacteriales; Natrialbaceae. The record is from RNAcentral.
CCCACCGUGCCAAUAAUCGGUACGGGUUGUGAGAGCAAGAGCCCGGACGGUAUCUGAGACACGAUACCGGGCCCUACGGGGCGCAGCAGCGGCGAAACCUUUACACUGCACGCCAGUGCGAUAAGGGGACUCCAAGUGCGAGGGCAUAUAGUCCUCGCUUUUCGCGACCGUAAGGUGGUCGCAGAAUAAGUGCUGGGCAAGACCGGUGCCAGCCGCCGCGGUAAUACCGGCAGCACGAGUGAUGACCGCUAUUAUUGGGCCUAAAGCGUCCGUAGCUGGCCAGCCAAGUCCAUCGGGAAAUCCGGCGCUUAACGCGCGGGCGUCCGGUGGAAACUGGAUGGCUUGGGACCGGAAGACCAGAGGGUACGUCCGGGGUAGGAGUGAAAUCCCGUAAUCCUGGACGGACCACCGGUGGCGAAAGCGCCUCUGGAAGACGGAUCCGACGGUGAGGGACGAAAGCUCGGGUCACGAACCGGAUUAGAUACCCGGGUAGUCCGAGCUGUAAACGAUGUCUGCUAGGUGUGACACAGGCUACGAGCCUGUGUUGUGCCGUAGGGAAGCCGUGAAGCAGACCGCCUGGGAAGUACGUCCGCAAGGAUGAAACUUAAAGGAAUUGGCGGGGGAGCACUACAACCGGAGGAGCCUGCGGUUUAAUUGGACUCAACGCCGGACAUCUCACCAGCAUCGACAGUGUACUGUGAAGGUCAGUGUGAUGAGCUUACUGGAGUCACUGAGAGGAGGUGCAUGGCCGCCGUCAGCUCGUACCGUGAGGCGUCCUGUUAAGUCAGGCGACGAGCGAGACCCGCACUCUUAAUUGCCAGCAACACCCUUGUGGUGGUUGGGUACAUUAGGAGGACUGCCAGUGCCAAACUGGAGGAAGGAACGGGCAACGGUAGGUCAGUAUGCCCCGAAUGUGCUGGGCGACACGCGGGCUACAAUGGCCAAGACAGUGGGAUGCAACCCCGAAAGGGGGCGCUAAUCUCCGAAACUUGGUCGUAGUUCGGAUUGAGGGCUGAAACUCGCCCUCAUGAAGCUGGAUUCGGUAGUAAUCGCGCCUCAGAAGGGCGCGGUGAAUACGUCCCUGCUCCUUGCACACACCGCCCGUCAAAGCACCCGAGUGGGGUCCGGAUGAGGCCUCUGUAACAGAGGUCGAAUCUGGGCUCCGCAAGG